This 481-nucleotide ribosomal RNA is filed under the name uncultured Pelagibacterales bacterium. RNAcentral's name for it is "bacterial SSU rRNA". It matches the Rfam family "Bacterial small subunit ribosomal RNA", at positions 89 to 604 of the family's 1533-position model. Lineage: Bacteria; Pseudomonadati; Pseudomonadota; Alphaproteobacteria; Candidatus Pelagibacterales. The record is from RNAcentral.
UACUUAGUGGCAGACGGGUGAGUAACAUGUGGGUAUCUACCCUUUGGCCUGGAAUAACACGAGGAAACUUGUGCUAAUACCGGAUAAGUCUUUACGGAGAAAGCUUUAUGCACCAAUGGAUGAGCCCGCACUAGAUUAGUUUGUUGGUGGGGUAAUGGCCUACCAAGACUAUGAUCUAUAGCUGAUUUGAGAGGAUGAUCAGCCACAUUGGGACUGAGACACGGCCCAAACUCCUACGGGAGGCAGCAGUGGGGAAUCUUGCACAAUGGAGGAAACUCUGAUGCAGCGAUGCCGCGUGAGUGAAGAAGGCCCUUGGGUUGUAAAGCUCUUUCGUCGGGGAAGAAAAUGACUGUACCCGAAUAAGAAGGUCCGGCUAACUUCGUGCCAGCAGCCGCGGUAAUACGAAGGGACCUAGCGUAGUUCGGAUUUACUGGGCUUAAAGAGUUCGUAGGUGGUUGAAAAAGUUGGUGGUGAAAUCCCA